CAUGAUAGCCGCCAUUCUAGUCAAUCAGACCGAAUGACAUAGCAUGUUUGCAGAGCUGAAGAAAUUGCUUCAUGAUCUUAAGGAAGAGGGAACCUUGCUUCAUGAUCUUACAGUUUGUAGAGUUUGCAGAGCUUUUGACAUUGAAAUCAGUGAGGAUAAUACAACCAAAGGACUCCUGGAUACCAUAGCUGAACUCAGGUACGCCCAAAAGAGGGUUCUUUUCUUUCCCUGGAGAUUUUCAGAAUUGUGGUUUAUGGGAUUUUGUACGCCUACUUGCCAAUUUAAUCAUAACAUUUGCAUAGUGGCAGAGUUUUAACCGUCACCCACACAAUUUAUCAUGAUGAAGGUUACUUUGCGUUCACCACUUUUAUGUGGAGAAGUGUCCUGUUGAUGGAGGGUUGUGUAGAAAUAUCUGUAUUAGAUGGAAAGUGACGUUAUGAUGUUCAAGCAACUAAAAACCAAUGGAGGAUUAGCUUCUACUUGCAUUGAAAGCACUUGUUAUUUGGAAUAUCCAUGUAAGGUUCUUGCUUGCAGCUUCAUUCAGACCAUUUCAGUGUCAAGUCCAGAGAGAGAGUCAUCAUGUUUGGUCACGGUAGUGAGCUCUUACAUCUUGUUGCUCGUUUCAAUUCAUAUGUGAAAAGCAAGCCGUAUGGCUCUAGCUUUCUUGUUGUUCGAUGCAUCCUUGGGUAAGGUGAUGCACCAAUUUGUUGAUCGACAAAUAAUAUUGUAAGACAAGCCUGAUUGUUUAAUAAAUCUGAGUAAUUGAGCAUU
Molecule: long non-coding RNA, 771 nt
Organism: Populus trichocarpa (black cottonwood)
Lineage: Eukaryota; Viridiplantae; Streptophyta; Magnoliopsida; Malpighiales; Salicaceae
Exons: 2
Source: RefSeq, a predicted model, not a curated record